This 433-nucleotide ribosomal RNA is filed under the name uncultured bacterium. Its description in RNAcentral is "partial 16S ribosomal RNA". It matches the Rfam family "Bacterial small subunit ribosomal RNA", at positions 29 to 507 of the family's 1533-position model. The record is from RNAcentral.
AACGAACGCUGGCGGCAUGCCUAACACAUGCCAGUCGAACGAGACCUUCGGGUCUAGUGGCGCACGGGUGCGUAACGCGUGGGAACCUGCCCUUAGGUUCGGAAUAACUCCCCGAAAGGGGUGCUAAUACCGGAUAAUGUCUUCGGACCAAAGAUUUAUCGCCUUUGGAUGGGCCCGCGUUGGAUUAGCUAGUUGGUAGGGUAAAAGCCUACCAAGGCGACGAUCCAUAGCUGGUCUGAGAGGAUGAUCAGCCACACUGGGACUGAGACACGGCCCAGACUCCUACGGGAGGCGGCAGUGGGGAAUAUUGGACAAUGGGCGAAAGACUGAAACAGCAAUGCCGCGUGAGUGAUGAAGGCCUUAGGGUUGUAAAGCUCUUUUACCCGGGAUGAUAAUAACAGUACCGGGAGAAUAAGCUCCGGCUAACUCCGUG